Molecule: long non-coding RNA, 642 nt
Filed under: Monodelphis domestica (gray short-tailed opossum)
Lineage: Eukaryota; Metazoa; Chordata; Mammalia; Didelphimorphia; Didelphidae
Description: lncRNA (ENSMODG00000038363.1)
Source: RNAcentral
GUAGUCUAUAUUGGUGGGUCUGAGGAGAGGAUGUGUCCCAUGUCUAGAUUGCUGCCAUGCUUAACCCAGAAGGAAGUCCCUGGACAAAUGUUUUUUAAUAUCAAGAAAGAGGUCCCAUCUGGUGAAAUGUCAUUCAUAAGGACUUAGACUUACACUUAUUACAGACCAUAAACUUGAAUCUAGAAAUCCUGACUCUCAGGUGAUAUGUUAGUAUUUCCUCCAAUGGAGUCACAACGUCAUGCUGACCUCAGAGUCUUGGUCAAGUCAGCACUGCCAAAAUCAACCAUUGUUGGUAGCCAUCCAGGAUGGAUCCCUCCAGAUCAAAGGAUGGAGAGCAGUAUGCUGUUUGGAGAGCCACCAACAGACUUUGGAAGGAUUAUUUGGAAUCUCUUAUGAAGAUAAGGCAAUGAAGACAUUCUUCAGUGAAUGUUUUCAACUAUUACCCAUGGCACGCAAUCUGAGGCAAACUACAGUCAUUCCAACUCACAAUGGGCAGAUGAGCAUGAUACAGAAUCUGAAGAUGAUGAAACCCUUACUGAAACCUCCUGUUUUAGUGGAAAAAGAAUCAUGUAACUGGUCCACACUUUCAUCUUGAAAAUCUGGAAUAAUAAAUAUACUCCAGAUGUCCUUGAUUGUGGGAAA